RNAcentral lists this ribosomal RNA (253 nucleotides) under uncultured bacterium. Its description in RNAcentral is "partial 16S ribosomal RNA". It matches the Rfam family "Bacterial small subunit ribosomal RNA", at positions 524 to 776 of the family's 1533-position model. The record is from RNAcentral.
UACGUAGGUGGCGAGCGUUGUCCGGAAUUAUUGGGCGUAAAGAGCGCGUAGGCGGUUUGUCAGGUCCGACGUGAAAUCCCGGGGCUCAACCCCGGACGUGCAUCGGAAACCGGCUUGCUAGAGUCUGGGAGAGGGAAGUGGAAUUCCUGGUGUAGCGGUGAAAUGCGCAGAUAUCAGGAGGAACACCGGUAGCGAAGGCUGCUUCCUGGAACAGUACUGACGCUGAGGCGCGAAAGCUAGGGGAGCAAACAGG